This 213-nucleotide unclassified non-coding RNA is filed under the name soil metagenome. RNAcentral's name for it is "partial contains 5.8S ribosomal RNA, internal transcribed spacer 2, and large subunit ribosomal RNA". The record is from RNAcentral.
AACAUCGCGCACCUGCGGGAACCUGCGGAAGGAUCAUUACAGGACUCGCAAGACUCCUUAAACCCCUGUGAACUUACUGUUUAUACGUUGCUUCGGCGGGUGCUCCGGGGUCCGCCCCGGGGCGCUGCGCCCGCCGGCAGCCUACUUAAUUCUGUUUCUCUGCGUUGGCAUCUCGAGUAAGCAAAAUAAGUUAAAACUUUCAACAACGGAUCU